GAAGGGAGUUCAGACGUACCGAGGUCACCAAGGAGAGGAAGGGAAGAGCUGUGGAUGGAAGGGCCUGGAGUAGCACGGCCUUUUAUACAGUGAGCCAGCGCCUCGGGAGACGUGGAACACGUGUGUGUUUGUGAAGCACGGUAACAAACAGCAAUUUGAGGUUUGCAGAGCACAGCCGUGAGAUGGAGAAUCAUCUCUUUCAUCUGAAAGGUCUGAUUUGCAUUUCCCCAUUGGGUGAGAGUGCAGCGGUGAUGCAUGCGAUGCUGCUCCUGUAAGCAACGGCCUUGGAGGUCCCAGCCAGCUUCCAGAAAGGGUUUCAGCAGCUCCAGGCCCUGUGUGAGGGUUGUGCACAUCCUUGCUGGGGAGCCUCCCCUGGGGCUCUGGGCUGCAGUAUAAAAGCGGCCCAACUGCCAGCUCCUCCAUCCUCUCCUCGUGCCUUCCUCUGCUCCGCGAAGUUGUGGCUGCUGUCUUCAGGAGCCUGUUGCGCUGUGCUCAGCCAUGUGCCCUCCUGAGAGCAGGGCGAGAGGAGCCCGACCUGGCAAGACCAGGGCGCUCAAGGGCAGGGCGUUCGGCUGUGUGAACAAAUGGGUGCUGGUAGAAGGGCUGAUGGCCAGGAAGUGCAGAGCCGAUUCCAAGGAGAGGGAUCCUCCUGAUCUGCCACAGAAAAUCUUUCCCUGUC
Long non-coding RNA from Neopsephotus bourkii (Bourke's parrot), 679 nucleotides. RefSeq lists it as uncharacterized. Lineage: Eukaryota; Metazoa; Chordata; Aves; Psittaciformes; Psittacidae. The record is from RefSeq and is a predicted model, not a curated record. The transcript is spliced from 3 exons.